UCGGAGGCAGCAGUGGGGAAUUUUCCGCAAUGGGCGAAAGCCUGACGGAGCAAUACCGCGUGAGGGAUGACGGCCUAUGGGUUGUAAACCUCUUUUUCCAGGGAGGAAUAAAUGACGUGUACCUGAAGAAUAAGCAUCGGCUAACUCCGUGCCAGCAGCCGCGGUAAGACGGAGGAUGCAAGUGUUAUCCGGAAUCACUGGGCGUAAAGCGUCUGUAGGUGGUUUAAUAAGUCAACUGUUAAAUCUUGAGGCUUAACUUCAAAAUCGCAGUCGAAACUAUUAGACUAGAGUAUAGUAGGGGUAACGGGAAUUUCCAGUGGAGCGGUGAAAUGCGUAGAGAUUGGAAAGAACACCGAUGGCGAAGGCACUUUACUGGGCUAUUACUAACACUCAGAGACGAAAGCUAGGGUAGCAAAUGGGAUUAGAUACCCCAGUAGUCU
Molecule: ribosomal RNA, 440 nt
Filed under: uncultured bacterium
Lineage: Bacteria
Description: bacterial SSU rRNA
Rfam family: Bacterial small subunit ribosomal RNA
Source: RNAcentral